Molecule: long non-coding RNA, 1194 nt
Organism: Gymnodraco acuticeps
Lineage: Eukaryota; Metazoa; Chordata; Actinopteri; Perciformes; Bathydraconidae
Exons: 3
Source: RefSeq, a predicted model, not a curated record
UUAGCCUAAACCAGAGCCGGCUCUAGCCUAAACCAGAGAGAUCUCUAGGGCUCUGGCCUAAACGGCAUUGGCUAAACAUUUUCAAUUCUUCUUGAACAAAUACACAAGAAAAACGAAAACUACAGCAACAAAAAUGACGAGGACGACGAAAGCACCAAUGUUAAGGACAACGGCGACUGAUAUUUAAAGUUUGUUUUUAUGCUAGUUUAGCUAACCCUUCAAUCAAGUCCAUAGAGUCCGCGAGUUCUUAUUAUACAUCCAUGGAGUUCACCUGUGAGCGCCCCGUCUCCAAGUUUGCAUUUGUGGCCAUACAAAUGAACUAUCAUAAGAAUAAGAUGAACUAUAACCCGGUGUGUUUCCUUAUGUGAUGGGGCUUCUGCACAGAGUAAGACCAGAACCAACACUCAGUUUAAGGGACAGCAGAUCAGAUAUGGAGAAUGAAUAUGGAAGAUUUACUUCUAACAAAAUGACCCAGAGAGGUGAUUCCAGGAACUAGCGCUGAUGCUGACAAACGAUCAAAUGUAACUAUGGAUAGAAAAAAGAGGUGAUGAUGAACAGUGGAAUUACUUUGUGUAUACCUUGAGAGUUGUUCUAGUAAAGUCCAUUAUCAUUUAUAAAGAGCCAUAUCACCCCUGUUUCUAAUCAUUUCAUAAAGGAUUUAAGAAGUGAGUAGGUUGUGAUUGAUUUCCUCCAUUCCAAACUGAUUAUUGCCUGUUGUGUUUUGCCCUCUUUUACACCUUAUAGAUGUUCUACACCAUAUAUGUCAGUCAGGCUGCAGCAGAAGCAGACCUCAGGCCUGCAGUGCUUUCCGACACCUCUGAAUGUCAGUCAUGCUCGUGCCGGAAAGCCUGACCUUUCACAUGUUAUUUACAGGAGGCGGCGCAGGAAGGAAGUGUUACCUUAUUUGUGGCGUCGAUGAACUUCACUCCUUUGUAGGACACGGAGAGGACGAUGGUCGGCACCUUCUUCAUCUGCUCUGUGGACUUCUUCGAGUUCAUAAGAAGCAAAGAAGACAAAACACAUCAGAGAUGACAUUUGAAGCUUCCAAUAGUCACAGGCAUCAGUUGGAGUAUUACACUUUUAAAGGUCCCAUGUCAUGGCCAUUCCUACUGAUCAUAAUUCCAUUGUUGAGGUCUACUAGAAUAGAUUUACAUUUUUCAAUGUUCCAAACUCACAUUGGUUUCUCAUACAGCA